CGGGCAGUAGCUCAGUAUUAGAGCUCCCGCUUCAUAUGCGGGAAGACCUGGGUUCGAUUCCCGGCUGCUUAC
This 72-nucleotide transfer RNA is filed under the name Toxocara canis (dog roundworm). It matches the Rfam family "tRNA". Rfam says of the family: Transfer RNA (tRNA) molecules are approximately 80 nucleotides in length. Their secondary structure includes four short double-helical elements and three loops (D, anti-codon, and T loops). The record is from Rfam by way of RNAcentral. Lineage: Eukaryota; Metazoa; Nematoda; Chromadorea; Rhabditida; Toxocaridae.